GAUGAACGCUGGCGGCGUGCCUAAUACAUGCAAGUCGAGCGAACAGAUGAGGAGCUUGCCCCUUUGACGUUAGCGGCGGAAGGGUGAGUAACACGCGGGUAACCUACCUAUAAGACAGGGAUAACUUCGGGAAACCGGAGCUAAUACCGGAUAACAUUGGGAACCGCAUGGUUCUAAAGAGAAAGAUGGUUUUGCUAUCACUUAUAGAUGGACCCGCGCCGUAUUAGCUAGUUGGUAAGGUAACGGCUUACCAAGGAAACGAUACGUAGCCGAGCUGAGAGGGUGAUCGGCCACACUGGAACUGAGACACGGUCCAGACUCCUACGGGAGGCAGCAGUAGGGAAUCUUCCGCAAUGGGCGAAAGCCUGACGGAGCAACGCCGCGUGAGUGAUGAAGGGUUUCGGCUCGUAAAACUCUGUUAUUAGGGAAGAACAAAUGUGUAAGUAACUGUGCACGUCUUGACGGUACCUAAUCAGAAAGCCACGGCUAACUACGUG
Molecule: ribosomal RNA, 497 nt
Filed under: uncultured bacterium
Lineage: Bacteria
Description: partial 16S ribosomal RNA
Rfam family: Bacterial small subunit ribosomal RNA
Source: RNAcentral